This is a non-coding RNA of Cubamyces lactineus, 83 nucleotides long. The record is from the annotation of a GenBank genome assembly. Lineage: Eukaryota; Fungi; Basidiomycota; Agaricomycetes; Polyporales; Polyporaceae.
GUCCCUAUCGAUUAGUGGUCAGAUCAUCACGUUGUGGUUCACACAAUUCCGUGAAGACGCCGGCUCGAAUCCGGCUAGGGACA